GAGACAGAGUUUCACUCUUGUCACCUAGGCUGGAAUGCAAUGGCACAGUCUUGGCUCACUGCAAGCUCCACCUCCUAUGUUCAAGAUAUUCUCCUGCCUCAGCCUCCCAAGUAGCUGGAAUUACAGGCAUGUGCCACCAUGCCUGGCUAAUUUUGUAUUUUUAGUAGACAUGGGGUUUCACCAUGUUGGCCAGACUGGUCUCGAACUUCUGACCUCAGGUGAUCCACCUGCCUCAGCCUUCCAAAGCGCUGGGAUUGCAGGCAUGAACCACCACGCCCGACCUCUCCUUUUCUUUUGAAAUAGAUAUGUGAGGAUGUAAUGCCUGAAGUAGUGGCAGCUACCUUGUUGACUAUAAGGAAAGAAGCCUGAAGACAAUGGUCAACAUGCCAAAGACAGCAAAAUAGAAUGAUGGAAAUCACAUGGCUCCUUCUAGCUCAGACUUCUUGCUAUGAGAGCACAGAGCCCUCCUCUCACCAUCCUGAUUAUACUUUGUGGCUUUGUACCUUGGGAUGUCUUGAGGAAGCUUUUGGUGACUGGAGCUAUACGGAUAUGAAGGGAUGGUCUCCAGCCAGAGGACUUCAGUCAUCUGCAUCCAUUAAGAUGAAUGUCCUGAUUGCGCUUCAUAACGAAUAUUCUCAGAAUGCCAGAGGCUACAUGGAACUGUGCCAAGUGCUCCAUUACACCUGUGCAGCUGGCUAAACUGAAGAACUGCUUGGGGCAAUCCUCAUGCUCUCACUAUGCUCUCAGCAAGAACACCUGGGAUUCUUCAGCCUUGCCAUGUGUGGAGAACAGCCCAAAAAUAGGCCUGCUCAGACUUCCAAGAUGGAUUGCUAGACUUUGUGAGUCACCUCUGAAACCUAAAGCUCUGUGCUUUGUGAUUUUUGUUUGCAUCAUUAGGAUGAAGAAUUUCAGCAAACCUAGCCAGAAUUACUUGUGACUAAUCUUAGCAGAUAAAAAAGCAAGCAUUUUCUCUUUCAAACCCACAUACAUAUACAAAAGGUAAAUAAAACCUUGAAUUGGAUAACCCUUUCCCAGCUAU
Callithrix jacchus (white-tufted-ear marmoset) is the source of this 1039-nucleotide long non-coding RNA. RefSeq lists it as uncharacterized. The record is from RefSeq and is a predicted model, not a curated record. NCBI's taxonomy places the organism in Eukaryota, Metazoa, Chordata, Mammalia, Primates, Cebidae.